UGCAUCUGCCGGGAAUCGAACCCGGAUUGCCCGCAUGGUAGGCGAGCAUUCUACCACUGAACCACCGAUGC
This 71-nucleotide transfer RNA is filed under the name Cordylochernes scorpioides. RNAcentral describes it as "tRNA-Gly". Lineage: Eukaryota; Metazoa; Arthropoda; Arachnida; Pseudoscorpiones; Chernetidae. The record is from RNAcentral.